RNAcentral lists this ribosomal RNA (305 nucleotides) under uncultured bacterium. Its description in RNAcentral is "partial 16S ribosomal RNA". It matches the Rfam family "Bacterial small subunit ribosomal RNA", at positions 508 to 807 of the family's 1533-position model. The record is from RNAcentral.
ACAGCAGCCGCCGCGGUAAAACGUAGGGUGCAAGCGUUAGUCGGAAUUACUGGGCGUAAAGCGUGCGCAGGCGGUGUUGUAAGACUGAUGUGAAAUCCCCGGGCUCAACCUGGGAACUGCAUUGGUGACUGCAACGCUGGAGUGCGGCAGAGGGGGAUGGAAUUCCGCGUGUAGCAGUGAAAUGCGUAGAUAUGCGGAGGAACACCGAUGGCGAAGGCAGCCUCCUGGGCCAAUACUGACGCUCAUGCACGAAAGCGUGGGGAGCAAACAGGAUUAGAUACCCCAGUAGUCCCUGUCUCUUAUAC